GGGUGUAUAACUCAGUGGAAGAGUAACAACCUGCCAGGUUGUGUGCACGGGUUCGAUUCCCGUUAUGCCCA
Molecule: transfer RNA, 71 nt
Filed under: Candidatus Saccharimonadota bacterium
Lineage: Bacteria; Candidatus Saccharimonadota
Description: tRNA-Gly
Rfam family: tRNA
About the family: Transfer RNA (tRNA) molecules are approximately 80 nucleotides in length. Their secondary structure includes four short double-helical elements and three loops (D, anti-codon, and T loops).
Source: RNAcentral